Molecule: ribosomal RNA, 253 nt
Filed under: uncultured bacterium
Lineage: Bacteria
Description: partial 16S ribosomal RNA
Rfam family: Bacterial small subunit ribosomal RNA
Source: RNAcentral
UACGAAGGGGGCUAGCGUUGUUCGGAAUCACUGGGCGUAAAGCGCACGUAGGCGGAUUUUUAAGUCAGGUGUGAAAUCCCGGGGCUCAACCUCGGAACUGCCUUUGAUACUGGAGAUCUUGAGUCCGGAAGAGGUAAGUGGAACUGCGAGUGUAGAGGUGAAAUUCGUAGAUAUUCGCAAGAACACCAGUGGCGAAGGCGGCUUACUGGUCCGGAACUGACGCUGAGGUGCGAAAGCGUGGGGAGCAAACAGG